GUGAAAACACCAGUUCUCAUUUGAUCACUGAAGUUAAGCAACAUCAUGCCUGGUCAGUACCUAAGUGGGUGACUACUUAGGAACAACAGGCACUGUU
Molecule: non-coding RNA, 97 nt
Organism: Acanthosepion pharaonis
Lineage: Eukaryota; Metazoa; Mollusca; Cephalopoda; Sepiida; Sepiidae
Source: the annotation of a GenBank genome assembly